RNAcentral lists this ribosomal RNA (550 nucleotides) under uncultured bacterium. Its description in RNAcentral is "bacterial SSU rRNA". It matches the Rfam family "Bacterial small subunit ribosomal RNA", at positions 355 to 896 of the family's 1533-position model. The record is from RNAcentral.
UAGGGAAUCUUCGGCAAUGGGGGCAACCCUGACCGAGCAACGCCGCGUGAGUGAAGAAGGUUUUCGGAUCGUAAAGCUCUGUUGUAAGUCAAGAACGAGUGUGAGAGUGGAAAGUUCACACUGUGACGGUAGCUUACCAGAAAGGGACGGCUAACUACGUGCCAGCAGCCGCGGUAAUACGUAGGUCCCGAGCGUUGUCCGGAUUUAUUGGGCGUAAAGCGAGCGCAGGCGGUUUGAUAAGUCUGAAGUUAAAGGCUGUGGCUCAACCAUAGUUCGCUUUGGAAACUGUCAAACUUGAGUGCAGAAGGGGAGAGUGGAAUUCCAUGUGUAGCGGUGAAAUGCGUAGAUAUAUGGAGGAACACCGGUGGCGAAAGCGGCUCUCUGGUCUGUAACUGACGCUGAGGCUCGAAAGUGUGGGGAGCGAACAGGAUUAGAUACCCUGGUAGUCCACGCCGUAAACGAUGAGUGCUAGGUGUUGGAUCCUUUCCGGGAUUCAGUGCCGCAGCUAACGCAUUAAGCACUCCGCCUGGGGAGUACGACCGCAAGGUUG